AUGAUGCUAGUAAAACAAUUACACUGCCUUGUCAAGGCAGUAUUGCAAGUUAAAACCUUGCGCAUCUUA
This 69-nucleotide transfer RNA is filed under the name Petitella bleheri (rummy-nose tetra). Its description in RNAcentral is "tRNA-Asp". It matches the Rfam family "tRNA". From Rfam's summary of the family: Transfer RNA (tRNA) molecules are approximately 80 nucleotides in length. Their secondary structure includes four short double-helical elements and three loops (D, anti-codon, and T loops). Further hydrogen bonds mediate the characteristic L-shaped molecular structure. tRNAs have two regions of fundamental functional importance: the anti-codon, which is responsible for specific mRNA codon recognition, and the 3' end, to which the tRNAs corresponding amino acid is attached (by aminoacyl-tRNA synthetases). tRNAs cope with the degeneracy of the genetic code in two manners: having more than one tRNA (with a specific anti-codon) for a particular amino acid; and 'wobble' base-pairing, i.e. permitting non-standard base-pairing at the 3rd anti-codon position. Lineage: Eukaryota; Metazoa; Chordata; Actinopteri; Characiformes; Acestrorhamphidae. The record is from RNAcentral.